CAUUGGGGCCGUCACCCUAUUCAUCAAAUAUAUCAGAAUUGUUGCCUAGCAACUUAUUUCAAGAAGGGGGAGGAGAAUAUUUAUUAAAAAAAUAAAGAAACCUACGAAGUAAAACUAAAAUACAAGCCAAGAAGGGAAACAGAGGCAUCCGAGGGAGUGGGAAUGGAGAGAAGCCUAUCCCUGAUAGCUCGAUCCACAAGAAGGAAGAAACCUGGUUCUGACAGAUACUCAUUUCGGAAGAUCAUAGCAUUUCGCUCCUUCCAAGUGUUGUAGACCAUUACCUGGAGUAUAAGCUUCAGAACGGAGCAGGAAGCGGACUGAGAGGCCUGACUUCGCUGUUGAAUGAUGGUGAUGGCUGUGUUUAUGUCGCAAGGAGGUGCAGUAAGGAGGCGUCCACAGAAUCUGAGCCACACGGACAAUGGAAGAACAGAUGCUGAUGUGAUUCGGUUGCAGCAUCGCAUAAAACACAAGCAUCUGGCACUUGCAUUCCCCAAGAGAUGAGCCUAUCCUUAGUUGGAAGUCUUUGGUUAAUCGCCAGCCACAUGAUGAAGGAACAUCUUGGGAUCUGCUCCUUAAACCAGACCGCAUUUGAUAUAUCUAUGGAUGGAGGCAGAAGCUGGGUGGAAGGCUUCUAGAACACAGAAACCAGGAAAGCAUUACGUACAUCUCUGAACACAACUCCAGUGCUGUUUGAAGCCACCAUUGAUGUCUCCCAGGUCAUCGCCAAAGCGGUGGAUUCGGCGGCCAUUGUUCAGCCGGAAAACGUAGAGUCAGUGUGGAACCUAAGAAGGGUGCUCAACACUUCGUGGCACCGUGUCCUGCUCCAUCUAGGCCACACUCUUAACUUGUAGACCAAGUUACCACCGCUUUGUAUGUCCUUUUUCGACCUUGUUUUUUCGCUUUCAAAAAAAAAACACUCCUUUUAUUAAAAAAAAAUGUAUCCACCUGUGAUUACUCUUUUAGCUUUUGGUCGUCGUUUGGUGCAUUAUUUUUGUAUACCACUGUUUUACAGAUUUUGAUGCAUUAUUAUUAUUGUUAUAAUAAAUGUGCAUGGAAUCAUAUGGUUGAGCACAUUUAUCUAUAGUGUAUGCUCCUUGAUUA
Long non-coding RNA from Brassica napus (rape), 1101 nucleotides. RefSeq lists it as uncharacterized. The transcript has 3 exons. The record is from RefSeq and is a predicted model, not a curated record. NCBI's taxonomy places the organism in Eukaryota, Viridiplantae, Streptophyta, Magnoliopsida, Brassicales, Brassicaceae.